Molecule: ribosomal RNA, 500 nt
Filed under: uncultured bacterium
Lineage: Bacteria
Description: partial 16S ribosomal RNA
Rfam family: Bacterial small subunit ribosomal RNA
Source: RNAcentral
AUUGAACGCUGGCGGCAUGCCUUACACAUGCAAGUCGAACGGCAGCACGGGUGCUUGCACCUGGUGGCGAGUGGCGAACGGGUGAGUAAUACAUCGGAACGUACCUUAUCGUGGGGGAUAACGCAGCGAAAGCUGUGCUAAUACCGCAUACGCCCUGAGGGGGAAAGCGGGGGAUCGAAAGACCUCGCGCGAUUAGAGCGGCCGAUGCCUGAUUAGCUUGUUGGUGGGGUAAAAGCCCACCAAGGCGACGAUCAGUAGCUGGUCUGAGAGGACGAUCAGCAACACUGGGACUGAGACACGGCCCAGACUCCUACGGGAGGCAGCAGUGGGGAAUUUUGGACAAUGGGGGCAACCCUGAUCCAGCAAUGCCGCGUGAGUGAAGAAGGCCUUCGGGUUGUAAAGCUCUUUUGUCAGGGAAGAAACACCGGCUCUAACACAGUCCGGGAAUGACGGUACCUGAAGAGUAGCACCGGCUAACUACGUGCCAGCCGCCGCAGUAA